UGCAUAUGACAGAAUCCAAAAGUGUUCUUAAAUCUUCACAUUUGUAGACUAAUCAGAAGCAAACAGGAGGCACUAAACUAUCCAUAUGUGUCAAUACCAUUGAUGUAGAGAAUCAUGAGCAAAAUCCAACAAUGUAUGAAAUACAUCCUCAAACCAUGUAUAUCAAAUGACUGAAACCAGCAGAGCAUGAUCUCCAAAUGCAAUAACAAUACCAAUAAUUGCAACACUAAUAACNNNNNNNNNNNNNNNNNNNNNNNNNNNNNAAUUGUAGCAGCCAACACAUAAUCCAAAAUUGUCUUCAUCAUCAGAAAGUCACAAACAAUAAGCCAAGACUUCAUCAAAACAUGUAUGAAUUUGCAAAACUCAAUAACCAUUUGAUAUACAACUGAAGCCAUAAGCAACCAAUUAUCAAACAAAGCUUGAAUAAUGANNNNNNAUCUUCCAAACCAUGCCACUAUACUGAUAAAGCUUUCAAUAUUCCAUAAAACAUAUUAGCUCAAGAAUCAUCAUCUAGACUCCACCAAAUUGCAAUAGUGAACCUGGAUUCAAAAAGGACUUUACACAGACACCUUAUAUUCUUAGUGCAUCAAAUCAAUAGUUGACCAAAAACAGAGAUUCAUUGAUUGCCACCGGGAUCAAAGACAAUGAUCACAUAAUCUGUUUUGCCAUCGUUGUGAGAUUGAGAUUCACAGCUACGAAUUUCUCCAUAAUCAUCGAGAACCUUCGCAACGGAAAGAGGCUUGACGAUCACGCCGCUGGGAUCGAAAACAGUUUCGACGGCGACAACAGCGGUUGUUCUGAAAAAGAACCUAAACAGAGACUGGAACGGUGGAUCUAUGAU
This 841-nucleotide long non-coding RNA is filed under the name Trifolium pratense (red clover). Its description in RNAcentral is "long non-coding RNA (TPRA_LNC008669)". Lineage: Eukaryota; Viridiplantae; Streptophyta; Magnoliopsida; Fabales; Fabaceae. The record is from RNAcentral.